RNAcentral lists this ribosomal RNA (1361 nucleotides) under uncultured bacterium. RNAcentral's name for it is "bacterial SSU rRNA". It matches the Rfam family "Bacterial small subunit ribosomal RNA", at positions 28 to 1381 of the family's 1533-position model. The record is from RNAcentral.
AUUGAACGCUGGCGGCAGGCCUAACAUAUGCAAGUCGAGCGGUAGCACAGAGAGCUUGCUCUCGGGUGACGAGCGGCGGACGGGUGAGUAAUGUCUGGGAAACUGCCUGAUGGAGGGGGAUAACUACUGGAAACGGUAGCUAAUACCGCAUAACGUCGCAAGACCAAAGUGGGGGACCUUCGGGCCUCAUGCCAUCAGAUGUGCCCAGAUGGGAUUAGCUAGUAGGUGGGGUAAUGGCUCACCUAGGCGACGAUCCCUAGCUGGUCUGAGAGGAUGACCAGCCACACUGGAACUGAGACACGGUCCAGACUCCUACGGGAGGCAGCAGUGGGGAAUAUUGCACAAUGGGCGCAAGCCUGAUGCAGCCAUGCCGCGUGUGUGAAGAAGGCCUUCGGGUUGUAAAGCACUUUCAGCGGGGAGGAAGGCGGUGAGGUUAAUAACCUCAUCGAUUGACGUUACCCGCAGAAGAAGCACCGGCUAACUCCGUGCCAGCAGCCGCGGUAAUACGGAGGGUGCAAGCGUUAAUCGGAAUUACUGGGCGUAAAGCGCACGCAGGCGGUCUGUCAAGUCGGAUGUGAAAUCCCCGGGCUCAACCUGGGAACUGCAUUCGAAACUGGCAGGCUAGAGUCUUGUAGAGGGGGGUAGAAUUCCAGGUGUAGCGGUGAAAUGCGUAGAGAUCUGGAGGAAUACCGGUGGCGAAGGCGGCCCCCUGGACAAAGACUGACGCUCAGGUGCGAAAGCGUGGGGAGCAAACAGGAUUAGAUACCCUGGUAGUCCACGCCGUAAACGAUGUCGAUUUGGAGGUUGUGCCCUUGAGGCGUGGCUUCCGGAGCUAACGCGUUAAAUCGACCGCCUGGGGAGUACGGCCGCAAGGUUAAAACUCAAAUGAAUUGACGGGGGCCCGCACAAGCGGUGGAGCAUGUGGUUUAAUUCGAUGCAACGCGAAGAACCUUACCUGGUCUUGACAUCCACAGAACUUUCCAGAGAUGGAUUGGUGCCUUCGGGAACUGUGAGACAGGUGCUGCAUGGCUGUCGUCAGCUCGUGUUGUGAAAUGUUGGGUUAAGUCCCGCAACGAGCGCAACCCUUAUCCUUUGUUGCCAGCGGUCCGGCCGGGAACUCAAAGGAGACUGCCAGUGAUAAACUGGAGGAAGGUGGGGAUGACGUCAAGUCAUCAUGGCCCUUACGACCAGGGCUACACACGUGCUACAAUGGCAUAUACAAAGAGAAGCGACCUCGCGAGAGCAAGCGGACCUCAUAAAGUAUGUCGUAGUCCGGAUUGGAGUCUGCAACUCGACUCCAUGAAGUCGGAAUCGCUAGUAAUCGUAGAUCAGAAUGCUACGGUGAAUACGUUCCCGGGCCU